Molecule: ribosomal RNA, 377 nt
Filed under: uncultured bacterium
Lineage: Bacteria
Description: partial 16S ribosomal RNA
Rfam family: Bacterial small subunit ribosomal RNA
Source: RNAcentral
UGGGGAAUAUUGGACAAUGGGCGCAAGCCUGAUCCAGCCAUGCCGCGUGAGUGAUGAAGGCCCUAGGGUUGUAAAGCUCUUUCAGCGAGGAGGAUAAUGACGUUACUCGCAGAAGAAGCCCCGGCUAACUUCGUGCCAGCAGCCGCGGUAAUACGAAGGGGGCUAGCGUUGUUCGGAAUCACUGGGCGUAAAGCGCACGUAGGCGGACUUUUAAGUCAGGGUGAAAUCCCGGGGCUCAACCUCGGAACUGCCUUUGAUACUGGAAGUCUGGAGUCCGAGAGAGGCGAGUGGAACUCCGAGUGUAGAGGUGAAAUCGUAGAUAUUCGGAAGAACACCAGUGGCGAAGGCGGCUCACUGGCUCGGUACUGACGCUGAGG